UUUAAAAAAACAAAAACACUUUCAAUCCAUACAAUUCAUUCCCAAAAUAAAACCCGAUUCACAUUCUUGAAGAAAAAACUAUAUCAUCACUAUAACUGAAAAGGGUGGAUUCCAAAAUCCUUCAAAUUCUUCAAACUUUUUGAUUAAUUUGACUUUAAAAUUUAAAUGCUUUGUGGCUUUUCAAGAAUGAGGAUCCAUUGUUGUAUUGAUGGGAAAUUGUUCAGUUCUUUGCCCCCUUUAAGUCCUAUUUCACUCCCAUCUCCAAAGGAGAUACAUCUUUGGUAUGUGAUACCCAAUGAGGUAAAGGGUGAAUCCCUUAUGAACAAAUAUAUGGAGAUUCUAUCCCCAUGUGAGAUUGAAAAAGUUUUGAGUUUUCGAAGAGAUGAGCUGAGGAAAAGUGCUCUGCUUGCUCGUGCACUCGUCAGAACUACCAUUGCUAGAUAUCAGAUAAAUUCUUCAGUGACACCCAAAUCCAUCAAGUUUAGGAAUAACGUUCACGGUAAACCAGAGGUAGAUUGGUCUUGCAGUUACAAUUGGGAGCCUCCCGCGUUGCAUUUUAACAUCACACAUACAUCAUCUCUGAUAGCCUGUGGUGUGACAGUAAAUUCUCCUAUCGGUGUGGACGUGGAGGAAAAAGAAAGGACAACGAAGCACAACAUAUUGACGUUAGCUAGAAGAUACUUCUCCAAACAUGAGCUUGAAGUGUUAACUGCUAUUGGAGAUCCCUAUAUCCAGCAGCAGGAGUUUAUAAAGUUAUGGACGCUGAAGUAUCCAUCAAUGCACGCCAAACAUCAACCCCAAUGUCCACUAGUGGAUGCUAUGCACUGUUGCCAAUGCCAGCUUUGCAAGGCCAAAGAAAGCACUGCCAGCCACGAGAACUCAAGGAGGCAUAUGUUAAAGCACUUGGGAAGGGUUUCUCAUGUGCACCUUUCAAGACGUUUACCAUUCGUCUUGGGAGCUCUACUGGAGAACAGUUUCAUCCGUCUCAGAAUUCAAGUGCUGAGGCGAGUGAAAUAGUAGUGGAUUCUCUUGACAACACAGAGAACCUUACAAGUAAUUGGCAAUUUAUGCUCCUGGAGUUUGCUAGUUCUCAUUAUGUUGCCAUUUGCACCGAAAAGGAUGUCAAUACAAAAGGUGAUUGCGAUAAUAAUCCAUUGAAAUUAACAGUUUGGAAGACAAUUCCAUUUGUCGAAGAUAGUUGUGUCUCUGGAACAGACACAGUUCUUAAAGUUUGUGGCUUGAGAUAAUGAUUAUUACAUCCGCGAUGAUACUUAAUCUGAGAAUCUAUCAUUAUACAUUAGAAUCCUUGGAUUCAGAGUAGCAACUUAUAUUGCAUCCAUCAAUUUUAUGCUGGGAAAACAGAUUAUACAAGUGAAUGAAUUCUCAUUAUUUUGCAUUCUUGUCUGUAAGAUGGCUAGUUUUCUUCAUGAUUGUAAACAUUGCUUCUGUCACAUAUCUUUAUUUUUUUUCCACGA
Solanum lycopersicum (tomato) is the source of this 1475-nucleotide RNA transcript. RefSeq lists it as uncharacterized. The record is from RefSeq and is a predicted model, not a curated record. NCBI's taxonomy places the organism in Eukaryota, Viridiplantae, Streptophyta, Magnoliopsida, Solanales, Solanaceae.